Molecule: ribosomal RNA, 321 nt
Filed under: uncultured bacterium
Lineage: Bacteria
Description: bacterial SSU rRNA
Rfam family: Bacterial small subunit ribosomal RNA
Source: RNAcentral
GAUGAACGCUGGCGGCGUGCCUAACACAUGCAAGUCGAACGGACAUUUUUUGGAAAGCUCUUCGGAACUGGAAUCUAAAUGUUAGUGGCGGACGGGUGAGUAACGCGUGAGCAAUCUGCCUUUCAGAGGGGGAUAACAGCCGGAAACGGCUGCUAAUACCGCAUAAUGCAUUGGAUUCGCAUGUUUCUGAUGCCAAAGAUUUUAUCGCUGAAAGAUGAGCUCGCGUCUGAUUAGCUAGUUGGCGGGUAACGCCCACAAGGCGACGAUCAGUAGCCGGACUGAGAGGUUGAACGGCCACAUUGGGACUGAGACACGGCCCAG